UGGGGAAUAUUGCACAAUGGGCGCAAGCCUGAUGCAGCCAUGCCGCGUGUAUGAAGAAGGCCUUCGGGUUGUAAAGUACUUUCAGCGGGGAGGAAGGGAGUAAAGUUAAUACCUUUGCUCAUUGACGUUACCCGCAGAAGAAGCACCGGCUAACUCCGUGCCAGCAGCCGCGGUAAUACGGAGGGUGCAAGCGUUAAUCGGAAUUACUGGGCGUAAAGCGCACGCAGGCGGUUUGUUAAGUCAGAUGUGAAAUCCCCGGGCUCAACCUGGGAACUGCAUCUGAUACUGGCAAGCUUGAGUCUCGUAGAGGGUGGUAGAAUUCCAGGUGUAGCGGUGAAAUGCGUAGAGAUCUGGAGGAAUACCGGUGGCGAAGGCGGCCCCCUGGACAAAGACUGACGCUCAGGUGCGAAAGCGUGGGGAGCAAACAGG
Molecule: ribosomal RNA, 429 nt
Filed under: Chloroflexota bacterium
Lineage: Bacteria; Bacillati; Chloroflexota
Description: Chloroflexi bacterium partial 16S ribosomal RNA
Rfam family: Bacterial small subunit ribosomal RNA
Source: RNAcentral